This 312-nucleotide ribosomal RNA is filed under the name uncultured bacterium. RNAcentral's name for it is "bacterial SSU rRNA". It matches the Rfam family "Bacterial small subunit ribosomal RNA", at positions 30 to 341 of the family's 1533-position model. The record is from RNAcentral.
AUUGAACGCUGGCGGCAUGCCUUACACAUGCAAGUCGAACGGCAGCACGGGAGCAAUCCUGGUGGCGAGUGGCGAACGGGUGAGUAACGUAUCGGAACGUACCUUUCAGUGGGGGAUAACGUAGCGAAAGUUACGCUAAUACCGCAUAUUCUGUGAGCAGGAAAGCAGGGGAUCGCAAGACCUUGCGCUGAUUGAGCGGCCGAUAUCAGAUUAGCUAGUUGGUGAGGUAAAGGCUCACCAAGGCGACGAUCUGUAGCGGGUCGUGAGAGGAUGAUCCGCCACACUGGAACUGAGACACGGUCCAGACUCCUA